Molecule: non-coding RNA, 82 nt
Organism: Echinostoma caproni
Lineage: Eukaryota; Metazoa; Platyhelminthes; Trematoda; Plagiorchiida; Echinostomatidae
Source: Rfam
GGCCUCGUAUCUCAGCUGGUAGAGCAUGGGCGUACAAACCGUAGGCGGCAUCCAUGCGUGGGUUUGAAUCCCACCGAGGCUA